Balaenoptera acutorostrata (minke whale) is the source of this 621-nucleotide long non-coding RNA. RefSeq lists it as uncharacterized. The record is from RefSeq and is a predicted model, not a curated record. NCBI's taxonomy places the organism in Eukaryota, Metazoa, Chordata, Mammalia, Artiodactyla, Balaenopteridae. The transcript is spliced from 4 exons.
AGUUUCCUGCCACGUUGACUCUGGAUGGAGUGACCUGCUUGGCCAAGGGGACAUCAAUAAACUUGACACAGCAAUAGGUUGGCCCCUUUUCCCCCAGGGAUAUUUUAGCAAGAAGAAUGUGAUUCGAAGACUUCCAGAUGUUACUUUUCAGAUGCGUCUCAGCAUGCAUCUAUAAACCAUCUGGUGGCAGCAGCAGCUGGACUGGCUCCAACUGUAAAUGUACAUUCAGGUAGAGAGAAGAAACCAGGACUAGGAUGGACCAAACCGCACCAUCAUGCUGAGAGAGAAGUGGUCGCAGGUCUGGGUGCAGAGCUCCUCACUGGAGAAGUUCCUGGUAAGGAACGUGGAACUAAAAAGCUACCACCAACCAGAAGAAUUCAGGAAAGGUCAAAGGAGAGAGGAGACGCCAGUCCAUGUGUCCUACCAACCUCCCAGAAUCCUCCUCGCUGGAAUCCAUCUUGGCUGAGCAAUGCACGCCACCAGGAAGGAGCCUGAGUCAGAAUGAUUGGCCAGAGACAACCCGGAAACUAACCCCAUCACCAUAAAACCCGAGACUGUGAGCCACGUGGCAGAGCAGUCCUCCUGGGUUCCUUUACCCUCCUGCCCUCCCCCCGGGCACCC